This 93-nucleotide transfer RNA is filed under the name Clostridia bacterium. Its description in RNAcentral is "tRNA-Ser". It matches the Rfam family "tRNA". From Rfam's summary of the family: Transfer RNA (tRNA) molecules are approximately 80 nucleotides in length. Their secondary structure includes four short double-helical elements and three loops (D, anti-codon, and T loops). Lineage: Bacteria; Bacillati; Bacillota; Clostridia. The record is from RNAcentral.
GGAGAAGUCGCCUAGUCUGGUCGAGGGCGCACGACUGGAAAUCGUGUAAGCGUCAAAAGCGUUUCGAGGGUUCGAAUCUCUCCUUCUCCGCCA